CAGCAGCCGCGGUAAUACGGAGGGUGCAAGCGUUAAUCGGAAUUACUGGGCGUAAAGCGCACGCAGGCGGUCUGACAAGUCAGAUGUGAAAUCCCCGGGCUUAACCUGGGAACUGCAUUUGAAACUGUCAGGCUGGAGUCUUGUAGAGGGGGGUGGAAUUCCAGGUGUAGCGGUGAAAUGCGUAGAGAUCUGGAGGAAUACCGGUGGCGAAGGCGGCCCCCUGGGCAAAGACUGACGCUCAGGUGCGAAAGCGUGGGGAGCAAACAGGAUUAGAGACCCCGGUAGUCCCUGUCUCUUAUAA
This 301-nucleotide ribosomal RNA is filed under the name uncultured bacterium. RNAcentral's name for it is "partial 16S ribosomal RNA". It matches the Rfam family "Bacterial small subunit ribosomal RNA", at positions 509 to 809 of the family's 1533-position model. The record is from RNAcentral.